GGUAGCUUACCCUUCUCUUGAGCACUUAAAGCAGUGGUCAGCGUUGUCAGUUGAUUUCUUAUUUCAUCAUUGAUUUUAGCUUGACCUUGCAUGAAAGAUUGCAAAGUUUCUUCAAGACUGGGUUUUUGAGGGGGUGCGUGUGCAUAAUGAGGUUGCGGAGGUGGAAGAGNNNNNNNNNNNNNNNNNNNNCGACAUUAGACUUGAGGAUUUGGUUGUAGUUGAGCUGGUUAGCUUACCCUUCUCUUGAGCACUUAAAGCAGUGGUCAGCGUUGUCAGUUGAUUUCUUAUUUCAUCAUUGAUUUUAGCUUGACCUUGCAUGAAAGAUUGCAAAGUUUCUUCAAGACUGGGUUUUUGAGGGGGUGCGUGUGCAUAAUGAGGUUGCGGAGGUGGAAGAGUUGGGUUAUAUACUUGUUGAGGUUGGUCAUUCCUCCACCUGAAAUUUGGAUGGUUCUUCCAUCCAGGGUUGUAGGUACC
This 474-nucleotide long non-coding RNA is filed under the name Phoenix dactylifera (date palm). RNAcentral describes it as "long non-coding RNA (PDAC_LNC010780)". Lineage: Eukaryota; Viridiplantae; Streptophyta; Magnoliopsida; Arecales; Arecaceae. The record is from RNAcentral.